AGCGAACGCUGGCGGCAGGCUUAACACAUGCAAGUCGAACGGGCGUAGCAAUACGUCAGUGGCAGACGGGUGAGUAACGCGUGGGAACGUACCUUUUGGUUCGGAACAACCCAGGGAAACUUGGGCUAAUACCGGAUAAGCCCUUACGGGGAAAGAUUUAUCGCCGAAAGAUCGGCCCGCGUCUGAUUAGCUAGUUGGUGUGGUAACGGCGCACCAAGGCGACGAUCAGUAGCUGGUCUGAGAGGAUGAUCAGCCACAUUGGGACUGAGACACGGCCCAAACUCCUACGGGAGGCAGCAGUGGGAAUAUUGGACAAUGGGCGCAAGCCUGAUCCAGCCAUGCCGCGUGAGUGAUGAAGGCCCUAGGGUUGUAAAGCUCUUUUA
Molecule: ribosomal RNA, 383 nt
Filed under: uncultured bacterium
Lineage: Bacteria
Description: bacterial SSU rRNA
Rfam family: Bacterial small subunit ribosomal RNA
Source: RNAcentral